This 544-nucleotide ribosomal RNA is filed under the name uncultured Glomeromycotina. RNAcentral describes it as "SSU rRNA". It matches the Rfam family "Eukaryotic small subunit ribosomal RNA", at positions 548 to 1098 of the family's 1831-position model. The record is from RNAcentral. Lineage: Eukaryota; Fungi; Glomeromycota.
UUGGAGGGCAAGUCUGGUGCCAGCAGCCGCGGUAAUUCCAGCUCCAAUAGCGUAUAUUAAAGUUGUUGCAGUUAAAAAGCUCGUAGUUGAAUUUCGGGGUUCUACCGUUGGUCGGGCUUUGUCUGUACUGGUGUGUAGAAUUUCUACCUUCUGGGGAACCAUCAUGCUAUUAAUUUAGCGUGGUGGGAAACCAGGACCUUUACCUUGAAAAAAUUAGUGUGUUCAAAGCAGGCUUAUGUCUGAAUACAUUAGCGUGGAAUAAUAGAAUAGGACGGUGGUCCUGUUUUGUUGGUUUCUGAAUCACCGUAAUGAUUAAUAGGGAUAGUUGGGGGCAUUAGUAUUCAAUUGUCAGAGGUGAAAUUCUUGGAUUUAUUGAAGACUAACUUCUGCGAAAGCAUUUGCCAAGGAUGUUUUCAUUAAUCAAGAACGAAAGUUAGGGGAUCGAAGACGAUCAGAUACCGUCGUAGUCUUGACCAUAAACUAUGCCGACUAGGGAUCGGACGAUGUUAAUUUUUCUUGACUCGUUCGGCGCCUUACGGGAAAC